CCUACGGGAGGCUGCAGUGGGGAAUAUUGCACAAUGGGGGAAACCCUGAUGCAGCGACGCCGCGUGAGUGAAGAAGUAUUUCGUUAUGUAAAGCUCUAUCAGCAGGGAAGAAACACACACCUCACGAUUAACAAGCGGUACCUGAGUAAGAACCCCCGGCUACCUAAGUGCCUGCAGCCCCGGUAAUACGUAGGGUGCAAGCGUUAUCCGGAUUUAUUGGUUGUAAGGGGGGCGUAGGGGGCGCGCCAAGUCUGGUGUGAAAUUCCGGGCCUUAACUCCGGCACUGCAUUUGAAAUUGGAGAGCUGGAGUGCAGGAGAGGUAAGCGGAAUUCCUAGUGUAGCGGUGAAAUGCGUAGAUAUUAGGAGGAACACCGGUGGCGAAGGCGGCUUACUGGACUGUAACUGACACUGAGGCUCGAAAGCGUGGGGAGCAAACAGGAUUAGAUACCCUUGUAGUC
RNAcentral lists this ribosomal RNA (458 nucleotides) under uncultured bacterium. RNAcentral's name for it is "partial 16S ribosomal RNA". It matches the Rfam family "Bacterial small subunit ribosomal RNA", at positions 338 to 795 of the family's 1533-position model. The record is from RNAcentral.